RNAcentral lists this ribosomal RNA (393 nucleotides) under uncultured bacterium. RNAcentral describes it as "partial 16S ribosomal RNA". It matches the Rfam family "Bacterial small subunit ribosomal RNA", at positions 523 to 918 of the family's 1533-position model. The record is from RNAcentral.
AUACGGAGGAUCCGAGCGUUAUCCGGAUUUAUUGGGUUUAAAGGGAGCGUAGGCGGACUAUUAAGUCAGCUGUGAAAGUUUGCGGCUCAACCGUAAAAUUGCAGUUGAUACUGGUCGUCUUGAGUGCAGUAGAGGUAGGCGGAAUUCGUGGUGUAGCGGUGCAAUGCUUAGAUAUCACGAAGAACUCCGAUUGCGAAGGCAGCUUACUGGACUGUAACUGACGCUGAUGCUCGAAAGUGUGGGUAUCAAACAGGAUUAGAUACCCUGGUAGUCCACACAGUAAACGAUGAAUACUCGCUGUUUGCGAUAUACGGCAAGCGGCCAAGCGAAAGCAUUAAGUAUUCCACCUGGGGAGUACGCCGGCAACGGUGAAACUCAAAGGAAUUGACGGGG